ACAACCGUCAAGCGCCGCUUGGUGUUGGGCGCUUUGUCCCGCCUCCGGGCGCGGACUCGCCUCAAAUGCAUUGGCGGCCCGCGCGAUCGGUCCGAGCGCAGCAGACGCGCGCCUCGCACGACCUUUCCGCGCGGGUGUCCAAGAAGACACACCCCCCAA
RNAcentral lists this unclassified non-coding RNA (159 nucleotides) under uncultured Pleosporales. Its description in RNAcentral is "sequence contains ITS2". The record is from RNAcentral. Lineage: Eukaryota; Fungi; Ascomycota; Dothideomycetes; Pleosporales.